AUUGAACGCUGGCGGCAGGCUUAACACAUGCAAGUCGAGCGGGGUGAUGGUGCUUGCACUAUCACUUAGCGGCGGACGGGUGAGUAAUGCUUAGGAAUCUGCCUAUUAGUGGGGGACAACAUCUCGAAAGGGAUGCUAAUACCGCAUACGUCCUACGGGAGAAAGCAGGGGAUCACUUGUGACCUUGCGUUAAUAGAUGAGCCUAAGUCGGAUUAGCUAGUUGGUGGGGUAAAGGCCUACCAAGGCGACGAUCUGUAGCGGGUCAGAGAGGAUGAUCCGCCACACUGGGACUGAGACACGGCCCAGACUCCUACGGGAGGCAGCAGUGGGGAAUAUUGGACAAUGGGAGGAACCCUGAUCCAGCCAUGCCGCGUGUGUGAAGAAGGCCUUAUGGUUGUAAAGCACUUUAAGCGAGGAGGAGGCUCUUUUGGUUAAUACCCAAGAUGAGUGGACGUUACUCGCAGAAUAAGCACCGGCUAACUCUGUGCCAGCAGCCGCAGUAA
Molecule: ribosomal RNA, 503 nt
Filed under: uncultured bacterium
Lineage: Bacteria
Description: partial 16S ribosomal RNA
Rfam family: Bacterial small subunit ribosomal RNA
Source: RNAcentral